CACCACAGCUCAGAAGUGAUGCUGCUUUGACUGAUUCCAUGUGUGGGACCAAGUUGUCCAUGCAACACCUGCUGCCCACACACAAGGACAUGGGUAAGACCAUGGAGCUCCUCUGCAAGGACACUUGGAUAGCAGGAGCCAUGCAGCCAUAUGCUCAACUCCACUCCUUUUUGCAUAAAUUAGGCACGUACUUGGCAUCUCCAGACUCUCAGUCUGAAUUCAGACAUGACAAAAUACAAAUGUGCAUAUAACUGCAAAAAAUGGGUCUUCAUUUUCCAAGAUGAAAUGAGAAUGAUCAGACUUCUUUUGCUUCACGAUAUUGUUUCUGUUACCCAAACCUAAAGUAUAUGUCCAGGCUAUAAUAAAGCCAAUUUGCUUCUUGCUGUAACACCAUGAACUUGCAUUGAGUUUAAAAAAAAAAAGGAUGAAUUUUGUCAUACUUGCUUGGAACCAACAACUACUUUCUCUCUCAUGUGCUCAUAAUUACUAUUUUUACCUAUAUGUGUGCAUUCAUUACAUAAACAAACAUAUGUGUACAAGUGUAACAUCAUUUUCAUGCCCAAAUCAAGUAGGCUCAUUGAAUUCAAAUAGUUUCUGCCUGCAAAGUUCUCCCAUAAAAUCCAACAAUACAUUUCAGAAUAAGAGUUAAAAGGAGACAAAAGAGAGAGAAAGAAACCAGCACUGUUGAAUGUAUAUGGAGCCUGGACUACUUCAUUUCUCUGUGUUGAAACUAAUUUGUUGCAUUAUGUUUCUAUCUCUUGCAUGUCCACAUUGCCACAAGCUCUUAUUUUCACAAAACAGACCCAUCAUUCUUUCCCACAGGAUGAAAACACGGCUAAAUACUUGCUGUAAAAAAACCAUUAUGUGAUGUGCUAGCCAAAUGAUACACUAAUACUCCGACGUAAGUGCUUUUUUGGCAACUACUCAAAGGAGCAAAAAUUACAUCGUUUUCAACCCCAGUGAUGAUAAGAUUACACAAAAGAAAGCAAAAUAUACAAAACGGGUUGAUGAUAAAUAUUGUACAAUAAAUGGAGAAUAAGCCGGUUUUCUUGCUGUCACACUCUUUGCAGUUUUCUGCAAUUUUUCUGUCACUUGAAGCAGCCCUACCAAUUAUUUCUAUUGUAUUGGGUGUCCCCUGUAAAAAAAAAAACAAAAAAAAACAGCUGACAAAAAUAAGGAUUUGAAAGAUUCCUUUUCAGGAACUUCCUCCACCAACUAUUUCCUCCUUUUCAAAUGGGGCUUUCAGAGAGGAAGUGGUGGCCAGCAGUAACAUUCCCCACAGGAGAGACCCAUCUUCCCUUCAUAUGUGGAGAAGCGAGAAUAUCCUCUUAUGAGGCAGAGCAGGAAAAGAAAUCAUCCUUUCAUCGGCAGUGUAUUCUGCCUGGAUAGGUGUCUGUGCCGUGUCCAUGAUGGUACCUUCUGAGGAGUCAUUGCCAGUUGGCUUCAAGCCCCACAUUGCAGAAGGACAAUCAAGAGCCCAUUGGUUUAUCCUCUACCCUACUUAUUUUGGUUGGAAACAAAUCAAGACAUUAACAACCAAAUAAAAGCAACCCUUGAUCUUCACUCAGAUCCUCCACCAUGAAAAGAUUUUCUUACAUCCUCAGUGAGGUGCUCAAAUAUUUCUCCUUGUUGCUAGCAGUCACAGAGUUGGUGAGAAAUGUUUCUCGCAGCCAUUCACCGUUUUUUUCCCCACAAGUUUGCAAACCCAAUUUCCUGCCUUCUGAGUAUUCCUUUACUCCUUGUGAGUAUUUACUAGGUAGGUGGAAGGAACCAAAUGCCAGGGCUGCAGAGGAGCUGUGUGCUUUGAAUAUACUUUGCUGUAGUUAGAGAUAUGUAAAUCACAGCUGAGCUCCCUAGGUAAGUUUUUAAACAGAGGGGAAAAAAUAAAGGAGUACAGCUAGGAUGGGGCAUGGACCCAGUGGAUGCUAGAGGGGGAAGUCUGCAGCAAAGAAACCAUCACCUGCCUUGUCAUUCUCAUGCGAUGCAGUCUGUUUAUUGUAGUCUCAAAAUGCCCAGUAUCCCACAGGGGCAGCGGCCUGGACCACAGCACCACACAUCUGGUGGCACACACCACACUCCCAGAAAGCAUCCAGAUCACUGGGGAGCCCCGAGCAGCCGCUGCUGUCCUGGGCUGCACGAUGCAGCCACGCAGCCUCCACAUGUGGCCGGGAGCCGAGGCUGCCCUGGGGAGCCAGACGAAAAGCAGGCGCUCACUGGCGGCCCAGCAGAACAUCCCUUGUGCACAGAUGUUGGGAAAGGCAGGCUCAGGGGGGCCACGGAGCAGGGCAGCAUCCCAGAGGUGUCAUAGCACCAGGAAUGUUUGCAAACGCCAUUUAGUGGAAGUCAGAUGCCUACUUAUCGCUUUCAAAGGGAGACGAGAUCGGCUGUUAGUGCUCGCAGGAUCAAAUGGGUAAAUUAGAGGCAGAAAAGAUCGCCAUUCAGGCUAAUAGGAUUUACACUCUCAAAUCAAGUUAUGCGGAUGCAUUAUAGGGAGUUCACAUUGAGGGGAGCAAUUACCCCAUUAGCACUAAUAGGAAUUGCACUAAGGCAUCAUGUGAGAAGACACAUGCAAGAAGACCGCAGCUUUCCCUCACUUAUGCAGGGUUGUUUUGCUGAAACAAGGCAAUAACUGAUGGAUCUCGGUCCUCCUAAACACGGGCUAGGGUUUAGAUGUUAAGUGUUGGCUUCAUCCAGUCCCUUCAUUCAUAAAGCUGGGAAGAACCUUCUUCCCAGAGAGCAGUUACAAGGAGAGCUCACCUCCCCGGUACCUGUUGCCACCUCUGCUAAUACGAAAACAAGGGCAUAAACCCAAGUCCUUCUGCUGCUAAGGAAGCUGCAUCCAGGGAUGUACCAUUUAUCUGUGCUUCCUUCUGACUCUCUGAAGCUGCUUGCUGGCUUUGUCUCCAGUUGCUGCUGUUUAUCACCAUCUCUUCACUGGCGAGUGCCCAGCGGACACAUUUACUCCCUCUGCAGUGCAUGGAGGCAUCUUAAACACAUACCUAUAACCCUAAUGACA
Molecule: non-coding RNA, 3016 nt
Organism: Cyanistes caeruleus (blue tit)
Lineage: Eukaryota; Metazoa; Chordata; Aves; Passeriformes; Paridae
Source: RefSeq, a predicted model, not a curated record